AACGCAUACUGCGCCCGCCGGUAUUCCGGCGGGCAUGCCUGUCCGAGCGUCACUACAACCCUCAAGCUCUGCUUGGUGUUGGGGCACUACGCGCGCCGUAGGCCCUUAAAAGUAGUGGCGGCGACGUGCCGGCCCGCGAUGGAGCUAAACUUCCCUUCGCGACGCCUGUGCGACCGCCGCCGUUAAACAACCCCCACCGGGCUCUGCCCGCAAGGUUGGCCUCGGAUCAGGUAAGGAUACCCGCUGAACUUAA
Molecule: unclassified non-coding RNA, 253 nt
Filed under: uncultured Ascomycota
Lineage: Eukaryota; Fungi; Ascomycota
Description: sequence contains 5.8S rRNA gene, ITS2, 28S rRNA gene
Rfam family: 5.8S ribosomal RNA (bases 1-52)
Source: RNAcentral